CCCGCCUUUACUGUAGCCAUUCGAAAACACUUUUAAAAAAUUGCUAUUUUCACCACUACAGUUAUCGAAACAUUUCCAUGUUCUUUGUUUGCAUAUCUACUGUUUUUCGAUAGCGCAAUUAGAUAGGCCCACUGUAAAUCUUUUGGCACUGCAAAAAACGUACAAUUUGCAAGCUUGGCGUGAAAUAAAGCAUGCGACAUUUUCCUUUUUUUUUUUUUGGCAGUUCCUGUUGUAUAAUAACCGUUGUUUCGUCGCGUAGUUUCAACUCUCUGAAAAAUUUUUAAUAUUUUUAGAGUUAGCUUCUGAUUCUUAUGAUUGCGAUUAAAGGCUGCCAGUGCCAUCAGUGUAACAAUUUCACGUACCGGUCCGCAGUGUGCGUUUAACAAACACUUUGCCGUAGACGCGGAGGAGGCACAAUGCUGCUCAUACUAACAGCUGUUAUCCACACUUGCAUUUUUUUCGAAUUAGACCUGCAUUUAGCUUGGUGUUUGCACAACAGUAGCAAUAGUACUAAUAAAGACUGUAGGGGUUAGGGCCAACGACUAUAAGGAGAAAGAGAGAGAGAAAGAAAUGCUCUGAGGUGACCUUCAGCUAUCAGUAAAAUUACGUUUUCGAGAAAAACUGUACAGUAAAUAUUACCAUACUCAUUUUGAUUUGCACUCAUCUGGCUUGGAGCAAAGUUGACCGCUUGUUAUUCGUGUGACUUCAGUCGUGUAUUUAAAUAGCAUGUAUUGAAUGAUAUGAACCGGACCAAACGCUGUUUUGACCGCUUUUCCAUGUAGCAAUGCUUUCGCAUUUCAGAGAAAAGUAUGCUUAAUUGUUCACUGGCUUCUGGCAUUAGUACUGUUAGAGUUUUCAACAGCCUGAAAAAACCCUCCUGUAUUAAACAAUCCACUCGGAGAAUGGCUCUUCCUUCACCAGAAAUUCUUCCUCGGGUAUCCGCGCUACUUGUUUUUGUUCUGCCUCAGUUGUGGCUGACUCGAAAGUUAGCUUAUAUGACUCGAACAAAAAAAAAACAAGCUAAUAGGGCAUAAGCUGCAGAACGAAAAAAGGGUUGCUGUGGAACACCUGAAUUAUAGUAAGUUCCGGCUACCGUGAUCGUAUAGUUUUUUCCGAUGCAGGACCGUGGUAUCUAGCUUGGCAUGGUAACUAACCAUGAAAAGAAAACACAGAGUAUGCCUAACUUUAUUCACGAAACUACUAACAUCUGAACAGUAGUUAAGCUGAACCAACAAGUCUGCUAUCUAUUGUGUUUAAGGCCUGCGUACAUUAACGGCACCACACUGUCUAUAGCCGCUACCACUUUUUGAAAUGUCCUUUUCGUGGGUCAACCUCUCCCAAGGGCUUGGAAUUCGAUCGGCAACAAGCGAUUAUACCAGGCUUAUCGUUUGAACGAUACCACUCUAUAUAAAGUAGAUAAAUUGAUAGUUCCACAAUAAACGGCAUGCGGUUAUCUUUUUACUGGCGCACACAAUUGGCGAAUGGACUUAAAGUGUAUAUAACAGUAACUAUCAUUUCUUGGCACGUUACUCGGCGUUCGCGUAUCAGUAAUAUAUUUGAAUUGAACUGAAUUAAAUGAUAAGUCUACGGAUCUUUAUCAAUAAUCUAAACUGACAUUUUUCACUGAGAAUUUCCUUAUUAUUUCGUUUGUUUUGCUCAAUAUAUACCUAUUUAUAUACAUAACAGAUACAUUCAAGUCCAGUAGGACCUCUAAAACGUCCUUUCUGAUUUAAGAGAUACUUGUUUCUUUUGCAAAUAGCAUAAAUAUCUGGUGCAGUGUUAUUUAUCUAUCAGAAAGCUUUAUGAUAUACAAUACUUUACGAAAAUUGAGCUGUAGUAUAAUAAGAAACCUUGGAACAACCGUUUUUUUGUUAGAAAAAUCGCUGACGUCAAUCUGAUUAAAGUCCAUCAGAGAACAAUAUUUUCUAUGUUUCCCAAUAAAUCGCAGCUCGCCAAUAGCGGCCUAUUAAUUCGUCUUUUCUUAAACCUCAUGGGUCUCAGGCGGUAAGGCUUUCCAACUCUUGGUAUCGGUUGACUUCCGGUGUGUAACUGUUGCAUCCGUUUUGUGUACCUCCGGUCCGAACAGCGACGUCGGGUGGCGUGUUCUGGGCACCGGAAGCUCUGCAGUGCUCCUUUGGAGGUUUCGAUGCUGUUGUGAUGUGCAGCGUGACGUCGCGGCAUGUGGCAGAUUACCCCCGGUGAGGUCGUUCAGUCAUAGUGGCCCAUUGGGCUAACCGAAUCCCCAAACUUAGUCUCCAAAGAGGCACUUUUAAGAUCUUCAAAAUGCCGUGUGUUGAACUUUAUUCGGUGUAUCCGAUUGCAAGAUUAAUUUUGAAAAUACCCGUUAUUUUCGAAAACAUGCACCAGGCAUGUCUUUCGUCAGUAUUAGUUGUGUGCUGCGGUAAACGGUUGAGAUUUAAAGCGAUACCACAGAUAGUUCCUUUUUUAAAUUUAAUUAGAAUGAUUUUGCUUACUUGCAGAAGAAAAUAGCAUUCUCAAUCCUGGUAUUAAGCUGUCUCCUGUCAUAUAUGUAUUCUAGAUGAUUUUUGCUAGCCAUGCAAAUGCUAUAUUCUAUCUACUGGUCGUGUGCUGCCCCUGUAAUAUAUCCAGUUUUUAGAAACUUAACAACUUUGCGAUAGUGCCGUGCGCGCAAUUAUUACGAUACAAUCAGGCAUUGUAAGCAAUCUACGUACACUCGAAUUGACUGUUACAAACUGGUUUUAUUUGGCCAAUAGCUCACUGGAAAAUCCUCUUCUUUCACAUAUUUCGAAAUUUGCCGUGACCCGGGAGAACAGAACGCGUUAAUGUAUUCACCUGUCUAUUUAAACACAUAAAUUUAUAUACAUACUGUAACAGCGUGUCAUUUCGGUACGAUCACAAAUGUAAUGGCUGAUUUGAAUGAUUCCUCAGCUGUAUGUAUCAUUGAGUGUGUUUGAUAUAAUGCAUUACUCGAGUCUGAGACCUCACACAGGUGGAAUAAAUUCAUGCAUAAUUUGACACUGGUAAGAUCAUGAAGACUACGAGUGAUUUUACCGAUCAAUAGGCAAUUAAUGUGUUUAUCAAACCUGUCUGCAGUGGUGCCUUGGAAUUAUAACAAAAUUUGUGUUACAAGUAAAGAUUUUCUUUAUCACCACUGUCGUUGCAUGACAAGUACGUAUAUGAUGACCUUGUCUUAUGUCACGCAUAUUGUGUACCUCGGGCUAUCGUUCCUUAACUGACUUAACCACUUAUAUUGUAAACUACUAUAAUAGCCUACAAUAUAGGUAAUAUUAGUAUUAUUCUUAGGUAUUGUUUACAUACAAACAUCUCAACUAGGUGUUUCGUUGGAUAUAAUCACUAAUAUAAAAGGAAUAUGACCGUUCACGACAAGGUUUGUGAACAAUGUCACGAUAGUCAUCGCGAAUAAUCAUAUCAUUUUCCGAUGAUCCUUGCAUUAUGUUUGAAACCUUACUCGUAGCUCUAUGUAUGAGAGGAUGGUGUUUAUGAUUCUAAAUAAAGGUUUUCGAAACAUUUCCAUAUGCGUGAUCUCAGGAAGCAUGAUGUAUUUUCGUGAAAUAAAUAUUUAAUAAUAGGUCUUACAGUUUGGUGCGAGGAAAAGCUUCAGCUAGAGGCAUACCCUACUAAAGCCCAAAUUACAUUUGUUAAUUAAGCUGCAAAUUUACUCAACUCUAUUCUAACAAAACGUUCAUCCUUGCUUCAUCUUCAGCUAUUGAAUACAAAAUAAGUCUGGGUAGCUAGCAACAGCCGUGGGUAUAGUGUAGUGAAUAAAAUAAAAUUGUGUCCCAAAUCAUCGCUAAAUGCCUGUCACGAAACCUACAAGUAAAAGCUACGUAAGAAAAUCGAGAACAUAACCUGUAGGUACAAUUAUUUAUAACCUGUCAAAACAUCUGCCGAAUUAAACUGGGUUUAUAGAGUAAAACGACAAUGUGCGAUUGCUGUGUCAUGUUUCUGCCCCGAAGCGAAAAAGAGUAGGAAUUAAAGGAAAGUUUUAAUACCGAUUAACGUAAGCUUAUUAUUCUCUAAAAUUAUCAAGAAUACCACUCAUCGCUACAAUUUUGAGUGACAAAAUGGGCAUAUUAUCAGCCUUGACUUGAUAUUUUAAUGCGUUUGAUAGCCAUUGUAUUUCUAAUGAAGCGCUCUUUACUAUACUAAUCAAACAGACCCAAUUGUGUCGGGUAAAAAGUUCCAUUACAAACUGAACGACUGGAAAGCCUUCUCUAAUACCAAAGGUACAGACGUCGGGGUUGACAUCCAGUUACUUGUGCAUCGCUUUGCCGACAUCUUUUGAUGUUUCUACCUUGGCGCAGAGUUGCUCGCUGCUUCUUAAUUAUGAUUCGUGCUAAUUACUCAGCCAUGUCGAGGUCCUCGAAAUCAUUUGAAUCCAAGGUAAAUCAGAAGCUCCAGAUCACGAAUCUGUUUUAGGUUUGCUAGUAUUUUUUUUUAGUACCUAGAUUGUUGUAUUACGCGGAUCUCACAAGCCAUAUUACCAAAGUAAGCGUUAUAGAAACUGUAUAUAGUAAGUACCCGUUAUAGAAACUGAUAUCUACCAUUUGUUUAAUGUAAGCUACAGCCAAAGGGUGCCAAUAUGUUCCCAACGCCGACUCCGUGCUCAGACAAGGUGCAUUAAUCGGUACCUUCAUACAUGUUGGCGCUUGUUUCGGGGAUUUUCCAGCGACUCUCCUCAUGCGAUCGAGUAUGUUGACUAUUCUACCCAAAGAGCGUCUUGUCGUUGUUCAUUUGCCAAUUGGUACUUCGCUAUUGAUUUAUUUCACUCAUGCCUUUGGGCUGAAAUCGGUCAGCGCCAUCUUAGUCUGGUGCCCAUCGUGCUGAUCUGUUAGAAAGACGUUAUAGGACAGAACAGCGCCCGGUAGAACCGAAUGAAAUCUUUUAUCGUCGCCAUAGGUAAAACUCGUACAACCACACGUUAUACGGUGAUCUACCUGUAUUUACGUUUUGUUCACCAUAAGAUAUUGUUAUUACAGCCACUCGUAAUCUAAAUGGCAAUACUUGAUAUACCGUUUUCAUUAGGGGGUAACUACGGGUGCUGGUAGUGCCACACGAGUUUUUCGGUAUAAUUAGACUUUGCUUUGUUGUAUACCACGUAUAUUAUUAGAGUGGAUUGAAUCCCGGGGUCUUUCGGUAUCAUCUCAACCGCCAGAAGGGAUUUUGCUAAUUUUCUGACGAGUCCGGGUAAAUGUUCUACCCGCGCCGUUCCAACUAUCCAUAUAUACACACAUGAUACACGCAACAAUUAAGUACGAAUUUUACGGAGUUUUGUGUAACACGCUAUCGAAACACCGAGAUAGCUAUAUAUCCGGCAGGACAAUUGCGUAGCACAAUCUAAUUUCAAUUGCUUUAAUUACGUGUUGGAUAAUCGGUACCUUUUAGGAUGAUUUUUUGAUUCAGUACUUGUAGCAAGUUUACAACUUAGUUGUUACAAAAUAAAACUUACGCAUCAUUUGAUUGCUAUCAAUUUCUUUUGGGGUUAAAUGGAUAGCCUAUGCUGAUUGGCCUUGUAGCCUAAACAAACGAUAUUGCCCUUAACAAGGAAUUUAUUUUACAAAGUACGAUUAUUUUACUUGCUUCUUGUGCAGACAAAUAACGUUAAAGUAUUUAAUAAUGCCCCAUUUCUACAAUCUACAUACAUCGAAUGCAUAUAAAUACGAUACAUCUCUAUGGGCCAAACUGAGCUCGGACUGAGAGGCUAAAUGAUGUGUGCUCAUGGAAAGAUAUCCCUGAACUUCGUUGUUGAUAUGCCAAAUAAUUGUUUUUUUUUUUAUGAUACGGUCCCCGUCACCGUUAGUUUUAGCAUUGCUUAAAGUGCUAAAGUAUUAAUGCUAAGAAAAUACACAACCUGUUAAUGAGCUAAUAAUCUGUUUCUGCAAUUUAUCUGCUUUGAUUUGGCAGUACUGGGGAUUGAAGGUCACUGUAUCCAUCGUUUGUCGGUGAUGUGAUCGGCUAUAGGACAGCUGUGCUCCAAAUCACCUGAUUAGCGGUACCACGAAUUUCAUGUACAAUGUUACCAUAAAUCAAUGUGCUAACACCAUGAUUGGCAAUAAUCGCCAUAAGACAUCCAACAACGUUACAAUUGGCGGUAAAUAUACUGGUGUGACAUGUAAAUGGAAAAAAAUUAUGCAUAUGUAUAUUCCUAUGUUUAUUAUAAUAUGUCCGCAAAGGAAGGCUAUGCUAUAAUGCCACUAUACAUGUGGCCCAGGUACAUGGCGUUGCGUAAAGUACUUCCAGGAUGAAAAAGAUUAGCGGACACGCAUACGUUGUUCCGUGACGGAAGCCAAACGUCAAAGCUAAAAUGCAAAACAUUAACUUAUCUUGGAUAAAAAAAAGGUUGCAAAACUGCUUUAAGUUUGUCCUAACUGCGUCACUGGAUAAUCGGGCAUGGUAACCAGCGAUAUAAACAAAGGAAAUAUACAUCCUAUAUAGCAAACCUAGGGUAUUCAUGUGCAAAUAUACGGUAGUAGCGGUCACAAUGUGUUUUAGAACCAUCAGGAGUUAAAUUGCCUAGUAGACUGCAAAAUAUCGAUUAUAUAUAUUUCGAACUUGAGACAAAAACGCAAAAUGAUCGAGCUCGGUAAAGUAUGCGUAUAUAAAUUGGGCCACGAAAAAAUUUUCUAAAAUAUUCCACUUCCUUCUUCGUCCGGUACUAUGUUCACCGCUGCAUCAUGACAAUGCGCCUGGUUGAUUACGAAAAAUGUUAACCGCAAACACACGACACUAAUUACGAUAAUAAUAUGAAUGCUGUAAAAAAUGUUAACCGUUUAUUUUUUUUUAAUUUAAUAUUUUAUUUUAAUAACUUAAUGUUUAAAUUUGCCAUUGUUGCUUGAGCCGCGCUUCCGUAGACCGUUUCAUGAUUGAAGCCAGUUGUCUGGAAUACUGCCGAACGGCUGAAGUACCGGAUUUAAGAGCACGAAAAAACAGAAUAUCCAUUCAGGUAUGCAGCAUCACCUGUCUCGUUGUUGCCUACCCAUUUUCGAACCAGUCAGUCUUUUCGUUAACUGUCGUCUGCUCAGUUCGAUAGCUACAGAAAUCGGCAUGAUCAGUUGUUUAAUUUUUGCAGUUGACUUCUACGAGUUACGCAUUGAUUCUUAUUAUGAAUCAUAUGUAUGUAAAGACUAAGAAUAUUUAUAUUGGUUGUCGUUAGACAAUCGGUGAGAAAUGUUGAUGGAAACCGGUUAAAUACUGACGACUGAAAUAAUUCGUUUGCUAGCUUAUCCGCUUUAUCAUGUGUAUGUACAAUUCCAUGCUUCAUCGCUUUUGUCCAAAACAAGCUUCCAUAACAAAAUUGCUAGAUAAUUGCAGUGCAUGAGGAGUUAACCUUCAGUCAGUUCUACAUCUAACUCGAAUUGUAAAUGCUGAAAUUUUGUUGGGUACUAGGAAAUGGUUUUCGCGACGAGUGUGAUAAUAAUAUACUAAAGAAUGGUAAACAGGAAAUUAAUGCUGUGGAGCAUAGGAAAUGAAAAAGCGUGGCGAUCGUACGAGAGUUCGCUACAUAGACUCGCAACUGCGAAGUGCAACGCCGCGGAGAGAACGUUUUUCAUGUGCUUGUUGGUAAGCUCGUGGCAGUUCCUGGAACAGAACCAGCAGUUCCCGUGAAUGCUGAAGUGACACUAACUUUGGCCUUGAAAAACUUUGUCCUGAACAAAAUAACAAUUUGCGACGAGGUACUGAUUUGAGUAGGCGGCCCGAGCAUUCCAACAGCUCGCCUUUCGUCCGUAUGCUUAGCCCGCAUUAUGCCCAUUGGCCUGAAGCUAUGAAAUUCAUGAGUGCUGAAGAACAGGCCUACGUUUGGAUACAUCCAUUCAUCGCGUCUGGAUCAUCUAAGUUCCUCUAUGGAGUCAGUUCUGCCGAACAGUGAAUUAAUGUGUGAGCUAUCCUUAGUUAGAUGACUCUUGAAUUUGCAAUUUCUCGUUUCAGUGUUGAAGUUUUGACUUGAUGCAAACUGUUUACGAAGAUCGAAGCAGAGCUCAAAAACUUCUUGCUCUGCAAACAUUGCACCAAAUCGUUAAACUGUAAGAAUCAAUACGUAACACUUCUCGAUGGCUCAGACCCAGGCGAGGAACUAUUAUUAUAUAAUUGGCCGGCGACUACAAAAAAACAACAGACGCAAUAUUAAGGAUAUAAAUAGCAUCUCUCUUCGAGGAAAUCGAGGAGCAUGUCUAAACCAAGAAAUCAACUAUAUAUAUUAAGGGUGGCUUUUUGGACGCGAUUCUCAACGAUAAUAAAAAUCGCGAAAAAUCAAAGACUCCUACUUAAUUGUUAUCGAAGAUCUGUACAACAAACUGGAAAUAAUUAUUCCAUAAAAAUAGGACUGCAAAAUAAAAACUAGUCUCGUUUUUGUGAGAACUAGACACGUCAAUUCAUCGUCGACGUCGUCUCUAUCGUUUACGAUCAGAUUUUCAUAUUAAUCAUUUUCGAUGUUUACCAAUAGACUUGCUUAUUUCAACAUUUAGUUAUUUCGUGUGAUAAGGGCGCAGAUCAAAAUCGUGUACGGCAUUUGUCCUGCGCUACGAAGAUACUCAAGUAUACUGGGUAGGUAUUCUGUAUACGAUAAAAUAGGUUAUUAGAUCUCUUGCGAUUUUAGCAACUAUGCAUUUAAUGUUAUCAAUAUUUAACCUUAUCUUAUGUAAGCCAGCCCAUUGAAAACCCCUUCAACUUAACCGCUAACGGGCGGGGUGAUCUACACCUUGACAAAAUAAAAGAUAGACCUAAAAUAGGAAAAUUUAUUAGAGAAAAAAUGCUUCCAGUUUAAAGGGUAUGCCAUUGGUCAUUACUACAGAGUAUACAAAGCAAUAUUGGGAUGUCUUGAAGAAGGUGCUCAUUAGUACUUUGUGCUGUUAAACUGCUCAUUUCCAUGCUUUGUUAUUCCAACUAACAUAGAAAGAACUGAUGAUGUAUUUCCGUCAUGCCGCUAGUUCUCACGAUCGUGCGUGACUUUAAGGGAAUCAGAAACAGAAAUUUUAAUGGAUCUCUUUAACGCCUUUCGUCACCACUAUCGAGUGAUAGUACAAACGUAAAUUAAAACAAUUAGCUAUUGGAAACGCCCACAUAUUGUUUACUAUUAUUCAAUCUCAAAAGAAAAGGAAAAAUCCAAGAAAAUAUUUAAGCACAGGGAUUUUAAGAUUACGUUGCCAAUUUCUGUCUGUGACCGUCUAAAUCAGCGUUACACGAAUCGAGUGGAAAACAAUUUCUAAGCCUUGUUUCAUAAGUUGAAUACUGCUGCUAAUUGAGUCACUGUUGAGUGUUUCGGCCUGCAAUUAUGCAACGAAGUUCCCUCAUUUAAUACUCGCUUUUUAGCAACAGCCGGGCUGUCCGCAAGUGCUUCAAAUCCGAAUAGAAUUUUUAUGCCACGCAGAUCUAUUUCAAUACUUAAUAUAGUUUAUUAUUUAUUGUACCUAUUCCACCGAAAUAAAUAUAUGUGACGUAAAAAAAAAGUACCGAGUGCACCAUCUUCAAUAUGAUCGAACACGUUUCUUAGUUACGCGUCUGUCACCUUUCCCUCUUCCCUGUCAAAAGGAAGUACACUGCUGAAAUACUAUGCAUUGUUCCUUCCGUGCAGAGGUAGCAAUUUAUUCUAUAUCUCCCUUAACAUCAAGUUACAAGUCGUUACAUAAAAUUAGAUCUUUGUUCGAAAAGUAACUUUAGCUCCUUUCUUCAUGUGUAUAUAUAUAUGCAUUCCGUAUGCUUAUAUUUAGGGUGCAUUCAAGUGCAGCUCGUGCAGAUCACUGAGCUGCUUACGUGUAUGUUGCUUUGCAAUAGUGUAAAAGAUCCUCAGUGAUACUUACAUAGAAAUAAGUUGCAACUGUCUGAGACUUCUGUCUGUCAAGAUGAUAUCAUAUUGAUUGUUAAAAGUUGAGAUGAAAUGAAGGCACAAUCAUCUGUUGACUAGAAACCUAGUUUCAACUACGCUUAUUGAUUGAUUAAAUACUAUUAAUUCCAAGAUAUCUGCUUAUGUUUAAUAUAGUAAACCCGUUGUAUGUUAUAUACAACAAUCACUAUAUACGUAAUGGGCAUAAAAAGAAAUCAAAAUUAUUUUUAAAGAUAUUUCUUCACUUUGAAAGCUAACAAUCAUUCUGUCUAUCAAAUCUAUUCGUCUCUAUUAAAUUGUAUAACUAAUAACGUGGGAAAGACACAGUUCUGUGGCAUUUCGCCAACGUUCAUCUAUCGACUGAAAAUAUCAGUCCUGAAAAAUCCCUUCGCGGGAUUGCAAUCACAUUAUGGAAACGUUCCAACUUGGACGACCUAACAUAGUAGAAUAAAGCUAUAUUCUUGCGUGGUAACUGUUUACGGUUAUUCACACCUCUGCGCUGAUAUAACCGUCCCAUUCGCUCCCAAUGUAAUGAUAGCCUCACGUUUCUGAUGAAAAAGUUUCAUGGUGACUACAUUGAUUGAAACUUUUUCCGUGCAGCAAAAUUUUUUUUAUCUAUACUGAUCUUUUCAGAGUGCCGCAAAUCCGAAUACGAACAUGCGCUUGUUUAAGGCCUAUUGCGGCAUACCCUCUCAAUAUAGACAAGUUAACUGUUACCACUACUCAAGCACUACACAGAAUUUUCAGACAUCUUUAAAUCAAACAUCAUGCACACCCCAGAGCUGCCGAUUCUUCUCGCUCGCACCUAGAGAAUGCAACUCAUCUGCAUGGGAAUAACCUAUAUGCAUAUAUAUGUAUAUAUAUAUAGAACGUUUAUUCGAAAAUCUCGCUUUUGUUUGCUGAUAGUGACAAUUAAGCGGGCUAUAUGCAAUAAAGCUGUAAACAUCGAAAAUGUUGCUUCAACAACACUAUUGAUGUUGUUAAAUCAUGAUCCCACACGAAAAAUGCCAACUUGUCAGAAUUGAUGGUCCAGUAUUCUUUCCCAGUUGUUGAAUGCAUGUUCGACAUGAAGAAUAAUAUAAAAUUAUUAGUGCCAGAUCUGUUUUUGCUACUUGAAGUUUGAGUCUUCUGUCCAUUAAAUUCAAAGAGAACCUGACAAGAAUUUUCUCUUAUAAUUAAAUUUCUGUAGCCUUAUUGGAUGCACCAUGCAGCCCAGUGUGGUGCGUGUUUUUAAGGUAGAAUCCUGAACGUUCGUAUCAUCAGAAGUCUGUGGAGCGAA
This is a long non-coding RNA of Varroa destructor (honeybee mite), 11099 nucleotides long. The record is from RefSeq and is a predicted model, not a curated record. Lineage: Eukaryota; Metazoa; Arthropoda; Arachnida; Mesostigmata; Varroidae.